Ornithorhynchus anatinus (platypus) is the source of this 830-nucleotide long non-coding RNA. RefSeq lists it as uncharacterized. The record is from RefSeq and is a predicted model, not a curated record. Lineage: Eukaryota; Metazoa; Chordata; Mammalia; Monotremata; Ornithorhynchidae. The transcript has 4 exons.
CAAAAGACUUAGGUGACUUGUAGUAGUACCCAGUGGCUGCCCAUCAAAACGACUGUUGGUGAGGACCCCUUCUCAACUGGAAUGAAAGCAUCAGGGCUUGUCCAAGUGGACAUUUUGCUAGCUGGCUAUUUGUGGUUUAUUUCUACCAACCACAAUGGCUGAAACAGUGAUUCACCUGUCCCUAAAUAGUGAUGACAGCAAUAGAGAAGCAUCAAAUGCACCCUCCUAAUUAUUUUUUUUUUCUGUUUUGAAGCUAUUGUUUUUGAAUGUCAUGUUUAGCCAGGAUUCAUUUUACCUUCCCUGGUACUAUCCAGCUUUCUUAGAUGUCUGUAAAAUAGGCGCUGCAAAUGAAGAAGGUGUACUACCACAAAGGAUGUGAGAAAUGUUAAGCAAAGAAAUUAAGGAGUGCUACUUCAAUCAAAAUGGCCUUGGGAGAGAUGGAGGGAAGACAAUCAUCAGCCUUCCUCUUGCAACGGAUACCUCAUUGAGAUUGAGGGAGAAAAUGCUACUGAGUUCAGUUCUCAGUGGACAAAACUGGGCCAUGCUCCUUCUCAUUGAAUUUGCCGUAAUGAAUUUGAGGUGCUGACAGGACAUCCACCUGGAGACAUCUUGGACACAAGAAGCAAUGCAGGAUUGAAGAGCAGGAUGAAAAUGGAAAAUUGGAAGACUCAAAGGCAGCAUAAUCCCCAGCAACAAGCUACUGACCAGGAAAUCAAAUUAGCCAAGGUCCUACGGCGAAUGUGUUUUAAAUGUUGGGAGCACCUUGCCAAGUGCAACCGCAUAUGAAGCCCAGGCCUGCUUGCAAGCAGAGAAACAAAUUCAGACCAAGA